GAGGAGCUUGCUCCUUUGACGUUAGCGGCGGACGGGUGAGUAACACGUAGGUAACCUACCUAUAAGACUGGGAUAACUUCGGGAAACCGGAGCUAAUACCGGAUAAUAUUUCGAACCGCAUGGUUCGAUAGUGAAAGAUGGGUUU
This 145-nucleotide ribosomal RNA is filed under the name Staphylococcus sp. KK03. RNAcentral describes it as "partial 16S ribosomal RNA". It matches the Rfam family "Bacterial small subunit ribosomal RNA", at positions 73 to 212 of the family's 1533-position model. The record is from RNAcentral. Lineage: Bacteria; Bacillati; Bacillota; Bacilli; Caryophanales; Staphylococcaceae.